RNAcentral lists this ribosomal RNA (402 nucleotides) under uncultured prokaryote. RNAcentral describes it as "bacterial SSU rRNA". It matches the Rfam family "Bacterial small subunit ribosomal RNA", at positions 355 to 774 of the family's 1533-position model. The record is from RNAcentral.
UAGGGAAUAUUAGUAAUGGGCGAAAGCCUGAACUAGCAACACCGCGUGUGCGAAGAAGGCCUUCGGGUUGUAAAGCACUUUUUGAGAGGAUGAGGAAGGACGGUACUCUCAGAAUAAGUCUCGGCUAACUACGUGCCAGCAGCCGCGGUAACACGUAGGAGGCAAACGUUAUCCGGAUUUACUGGGCGUAAAGCGCGUGUAGGUGGUUCUGUAAGUAGGGCGUGAAAGCUCCUGGCUCAACUGGGAGAGGCCGUUCUAAACUACAGAACUAGAGGAUGGUAGAGGGAGGUGGAAUUCCGGGUGUAGCGGUGGAAUGCGCAGAUAUCCGGAGGAACACCAGUGGCGAAAGCGGCCUCCUGGACCACUCCUGACACUCAGACGCGAAAGCUAGGGUAGCAAACG